UGGCUGCCAUUUUCUCUUUCCCCGGUUUUCCUCUCAACCUUCGAUCUUCAUUUUUCACCCUCCUCCAUAACCUAGAUAUGUCCCUUCAUUCUCUCUCCUCUCCUCUUCAUUUUCGCCGUCAUGGGUUUUAGCUUGAUGAAGUGAGAUUGAUUGUCAAAGAGGAUAUUCUUUGCCGCUUUUUUUCAUUCACCCAAAUUUUUCGUCGACUAAUUUAUAAGGUUAGGGUUUGUCGUAAGCUUUUUCCGAUCAUCAAACAUGGCGGCAGAAAAGUUACAGAAUUUGAGUCAGCCUAUUGAUGUUCCUUUUGCUCGGCGCUACCGUUGCCGCUUUCUAUGGCACUGGAUCUAAAGAACAGUAAUCGAGCAAUGCUUUUGUUAAUUUAUUAUGUUAAUGGAUAUACAUUGGUGAUACAUCAGGUCAAUUAGAACUCUUUUUGGAUCUCCUGUAAUAAAAUCUCUUCUUUCCAUAAAUCCUAGCUCACAGAGCUUACAUGGUCCAACUCUCAUUGCUACUUCUGUGGCUUGUUGAGACGUGGAGAUUGAAAUCAUUGAUAGAUUGUUUUCUGCACUGUAUGUCUGUAUGUAGCGAUGGCAUUAAAAAUAAUGGCAACAUUUGGAGUGUCUGUAGAGCAUUGUGCUAGCUGCCUAGCUGGAACAGGCUCUUCAUCAGAGAUGGUCAGAAGUACAAGUUUCUCUUCUUUUAGUAUGCGUCGUGUAAAACUAUCCCAUUAGUAGACCUGAAAUGCAUAAAAAAAAUCUACCAGAUGAUCUGGAAAUGCACAUGUAAAGGAUGAUGCUUCAAGUGAUGGUUACUUACUAACAGGGGAUUGAGUCACUGGUGAUGUGGAAGAAUCAGUUUACAGGGCGUCAUAAAAUUUGUUGCGGUUCUUGAGAAGAUGGGUUGCAAGGUUACUGAACAAACUAUAGAGAACAAUGUCACUGUUACUGGAUCACUGGACCACCAACCACCCAUAGAUUUAUCUGGAAGAAAGCGUUUGCACGCCAUCGACGUCAACAUGAACACAAUGCCAGAUCUCCUAGGGACUUGUUUUUUGUCGCUCUUCAUGCAGAUGGCCCCACAGCCAUUAGAGACGUCGUUGCUAGCUGGAUUGCUGGGGAGUGAAGGAAGCGGAAGAAGAAACAAUUGCCAUGUGUAAAGAACACGGUCCUGAACCUUGUAGAAUUAGGUAAUUAUUCAAUAUAAACUGGUGUUUCUUAGUUUUGGAAUUCCUUUGCUUGGGGAAAUCGUUGAGGAAAGACUUGAGUACUGUGUGUUCAGUCCACCUGAGAUACUAGACGUGACCAUCUAUCAUCGACACAUGAUGAUCAUUGGAUGGCCAUGGCAUUCUCUUGCUGCCGAUGCAGCAGUGCUGAUGUUCUGAUCAUCAUCAAAGACCAGGGAUGUACAGGCAAUACCUUCGGGGAUCUCUAAACCUUAAAUGCGGAAGUUUUGUUUUGAGAAGAAAUCAAGAGAUUAAAGUGCUUCCUGCUUAAAUUAUCAUCACAUUCUUUGUAUUAUGUUCUUAAGAUAUUACUGUGUUUGUUGAUAGUAUAACUAGAAGUUCUACUAUGUAUUUAAUGAAUAGAGAUAAAUACUUGGGUGGCUGAAUUUUGAAGUUUGAACAUGUGAUGCUGACAACAUUCUUGUGGAUUUUGGAAGUCAUUUUUUUUAGUGUGAGGUACCGAGUUGCCUAUUGUUGUUUCAAGUUGCAUCCUCUGGCCUCUCCUAAAUAAAAAAAAUAAUGCCUCUUUUCUA
This is a long non-coding RNA of Beta vulgaris subsp. vulgaris (sugar beet), 1755 nucleotides long. RefSeq lists it as uncharacterized. The transcript has 6 exons. The record is from RefSeq and is a predicted model, not a curated record. NCBI's taxonomy places the organism in Eukaryota, Viridiplantae, Streptophyta, Magnoliopsida, Caryophyllales, Amaranthaceae.